GUUCUACCUGAAAAAGUUAACAGCAUUCAAUGCUGUAAAGUAAGGGAACAAGGUUAAUAACGAAUGCCCCCUUCACAAAGGGUGGUGGAAGACAGAGGGAAUUCUCAAAGACCAACUUCACUCCACGUCAUACAUGAAAUAACUGCAGCUCCUACAGAAAUAAACUACUUAAAGGUGCACAAAA
This is a long non-coding RNA of Xiphophorus couchianus (Monterrey platyfish), 184 nucleotides long. RefSeq lists it as uncharacterized. The record is from RefSeq and is a predicted model, not a curated record. Lineage: Eukaryota; Metazoa; Chordata; Actinopteri; Cyprinodontiformes; Poeciliidae. The transcript has 2 exons.